Molecule: ribosomal RNA, 453 nt
Filed under: Pseudomonas asplenii
Lineage: Bacteria; Pseudomonadati; Pseudomonadota; Gammaproteobacteria; Pseudomonadales; Pseudomonadaceae
Description: bacterial SSU rRNA
Rfam family: Bacterial small subunit ribosomal RNA
Source: RNAcentral
GAGAAGAGCUUGCUCUUCGAUUCAGCGGCGGACGGGUGAGUAAUACCUAGGAAUCUGCCUGGUAGUGGGGGACAACGUUUCGAAAGGAACGCUAAUACCGCAUACGUCCUACGGGAGAAAGCAGGGGACCUUCGGGCCUUGCGCUAUCAGAUGAGCCUAGGUCGGAUUAGCUAGUUGGUGAGGUAAUGGCUCACCAAGGCRACGAUCCGUAACUGGUCUGAGAGGAUGAUCAGUCACACUGGAACUGAGACACGGUCCAGACUCCUACGGGAGGCAGCAGUGGGGAAUAUUGGACAAUGGGCGAAAGCCUGAUCCAGCCAUGCCGCGUGUGUGAAGAAGGUCUUCGGAUUGUAAAGCACUUUAAGUUGGGAGGAAGRGUACUUACCUAAUACGUGAGUAUUUUGACGUUACCGACAGAAUAAGCACCGGCUAACUCUGUGCCAGCAGCCGCGG